This is a non-coding RNA of Guyanagaster necrorhizus, 96 nucleotides long. Lineage: Eukaryota; Fungi; Basidiomycota; Agaricomycetes; Agaricales; Physalacriaceae. The record is from the annotation of a RefSeq genome assembly.
UCCCUCUUAGCUCAGUUGGUAGAGCGCGUCACUAGUAUAAACAGUUCUCGACAAUCUGUUAUGACGAGGUCAGUCGUUCAAAUCGGCUAGAGGGAA